Molecule: ribosomal RNA, 537 nt
Filed under: Hemiphractus fasciatus (banded horned treefrog)
Lineage: Eukaryota; Metazoa; Chordata; Amphibia; Anura; Hemiphractidae
Description: partial 16S ribosomal RNA
Rfam family: Bacterial large subunit ribosomal RNA
Source: RNAcentral
CGCCUCUUGCAACCCAUAAGAGGUCCAGCCUGCCCAGUGAAUUUAUUCAACGGCCGCGGUAUCCUAACCGUGCGAAGGUAGCGUAAUCACUUGCCCUUUAAAUAAGGUCUAGUAUGAACGGCUCCACGAAGGUUAAACUGUCUCCUUUUUCUAAUCAGUGAAACUAAUCUCCCCGUGAAGAAGCGGGGAUAGACCCAUUAGACGAGAAGACCCUAUGGAGCUUUAAAUAUUAACAACAUUUGCUAUUUAACUCAUUAUAAACAACAUUCCUGUUUGUUAAUUUUUGGUUGGGGCGACCACGGAGUAAAACUCAACCUCCCUGUUGAAAAUAGCUAAAACCACAAUUUUAAGCACCAAUAAACUGACAUCCAUUGACCCAAUAUUUUGAUCAACGAACCAAGUUACCCUAGGGAUAACAGCGCUAUCCACUUCAAGAGCUCCUAUCGACAAGUGGGUUUACGACCUCGAUGUUGGAUCAGGGUGUCCCAGUGGUGCAGCCACUACUAAAGGUUCGUUUGUUCAACGAUUGAAACCCUA